RNAcentral lists this ribosomal RNA (1075 nucleotides) under uncultured Propionivibrio sp. Its description in RNAcentral is "bacterial SSU rRNA". It matches the Rfam family "Bacterial small subunit ribosomal RNA", at positions 328 to 1394 of the family's 1533-position model. The record is from RNAcentral. Lineage: Bacteria; Pseudomonadati; Pseudomonadota; Betaproteobacteria; Rhodocyclales; Rhodocyclaceae.
CAUAUGGAUUCCUACGGGAGGCAGCAGCGGGGAAUUUUGGACAAUGGGGGCAACCCUGAUCCAGCCAUGCCGCGUGAGUGAAGAAGGCCUUCGGGUUGUAAAGCUCUUUCGGCGGGGAAGAAAUCGCAUGGGUUAAUACCCUGUGUGGAUGACGGUACCCGAAUAAGAAGCACCGGCUAACUACGUGCCAGCAGCCGCGGUAAUACAUAGGGUGCGAGCGUUAAUCGGAAUUACUGGGCGUAAAGCGUGCGCAGGCGGUUUUGUAAGUCAGAUGUGAAAUCCCCGGGCUCAACCUGGGAACUGCAUUUGAGACUGCAAGGCUAGAGUGUGGCAGAGGGGGGUGGAAUUCCACGUGUAGCAGUGAAAUGCGUGGAGAUGUGGAGGAACACCGAUGGCGAAGGCAACCCCCUGGGCCAAUACUGACGCUCAUGCACGAAAGCGUGGGGAGCAAACAGGAUUAGAUACCCUGGUAGUCCACGCCCUAAACGAUGUCAACUAGGUGUUGGAAGGGUUAAACCUUUUAGUGCCGUAGCUAACGCGUGAAGUUGACCGCCUGGGGAGUACGGCCGCAAGGCUAAAACUCAAAGGAAUUGACGGGGACCCGCACAAGCGGUGGAUGAUGUGGAUUAAUUCGAUGCAACGCGAAAAACCUUACCUACCCUUGACAUGUCAGGAAUCCCGGAGAGAUUUGGGAGUGCUCGAAAGAGAGCCUGAACACAGGUGCUGCAUGGCUGUCGUCAGCUCGUGUCGUGAGAUGUUGGGUUAAGUCCCGCAACGAGCGCAACCCUUGUCAUUAAUUGCCAUCAUUUAGUUGGGCACUUUAAUGAAACUGCCGGUGACAAACCGGAGGAAGGUGGGGAUGACGUCAAGUCCUCAUGGCCCUUAUGGGUAGGGCUUCACACGUCAUACAAUGGUCGGUCCAGAGGGUUGCCAACCCGCGAGGGGGAGCUAAUCUCAGAAAGCCGAUCGUAGUCCGGAUUGCAGUCUGCAACUCGACUGCAUGAAGUCGGAAUCGCUAGUAAUCGCGGAUCAGCAUGUCGCGGUGAAUACGUUCCCGGGCCUUGUACACACCGCC